Molecule: ribosomal RNA, 253 nt
Filed under: uncultured bacterium
Lineage: Bacteria
Description: partial 16S ribosomal RNA
Rfam family: Bacterial small subunit ribosomal RNA
Source: RNAcentral
UACGGAAGGGGCAAGCGUUGUUCGGAAUUACUGGGCGUAAAGCGCAUGCAGGCGGAUCGCUAAGUCAGGGGUGAAAGCCCGAGGCUCAACCUCGGAACUGCCUUUGAUACUGGCGAUCUUGAGUCCGGGAGAGGUGAGUGGAACUCCGAGUGUAGAGGUGAAAUUCGUAGAUAUUCGGAAGAACACCAGUGGCGAAGGCGGCUCACUGGCCCGGUACUGACGCUGAGAUGCGAAAGCGUGGGGAGCAAACAGG